UACGUAGGGGGCAAGCGUUGUCCGGAAUCAUUGGGCGUAAAGAGCGCGUAGGCGGCCCUGUAAGUCCGCUGUGAAAGUCAGGGGCUCAACCCUUGAAUGCCGGCGGAUACUGUCGGGCUAGAGUCCGGAAGAGGCGAGUGGAAUUCCUGGUGUAGCGGUGAAAUGCGCAGAUAUCAGGAGGAACACCAAUUGCGAAGGCAGCUCGCUGGGACGUUACUGACGCUGAGACGCGAAAGCGUGGGGAGCAAACAGG
Molecule: ribosomal RNA, 253 nt
Filed under: uncultured bacterium
Lineage: Bacteria
Description: partial 16S ribosomal RNA
Rfam family: Bacterial small subunit ribosomal RNA
Source: RNAcentral